Tachysurus fulvidraco (yellow catfish) is the source of this 932-nucleotide long non-coding RNA. RefSeq lists it as uncharacterized. The transcript has 2 exons. Lineage: Eukaryota; Metazoa; Chordata; Actinopteri; Siluriformes; Bagridae. The record is from RefSeq and is a predicted model, not a curated record.
UUUGUAUGAUUUAGACUUUUAAAAGGUUUUUCUUUCUUUUUCUUUCUUUCUUUUUUUUUUUUUAAAACAAUCCAUUAUUUUUAUAAGGGAAGAAAAGGGCAAUGAACUAAUCCUCUGACACACUCAGGCAUUGGAUGCAUCAGCAGGUCUUUUUUGGCAGUCUUUUUCAGAAAGACUUUGGAUCAUUGACUUUUCGUUGGCCUUAUAAAGAUGAAUACCCUGCAAGAAGAGGAGAUUCAGGAAUGGCCAAAAGCAGUCUUCUGGAUGUAGAUGUAUGGAGCUGAAAGAUACAACAUGAGUGUCCCUGUUUCUUUAGCAUGAACAUCAUUCAUAGACUCCAUUAAAUGUACACAAGGUUUUUUGUACUGUGGGAUGAGGUAGUAGGUUGUGUAGUUUUAGGGUCACACCCACACUGGGAGAUAACUAUACAGCCUACUGUCUUUCUCAGGGUGACAAGGAAGCAGCUACAUCAUGUUUCAUGUUUGGGUUAAGGUAUAGGGUUUAAAAAAGCCUAUUUAGUUGAGGAAAUUAGAUUAUUUUAGUUCUUUGUUAAAGAUUAUGCUUUCACAGUGUGAGGUAGUAGAUUGUAUAGUUGUGGGAUAGUGAUUUUAUCCUGUCUGGAAGAUAACUAUACAAUCUAUUGCCUUCCCUGAGGGGCAGGGAUUCAUGGUCAGUUUACCUCUUAAAGUUGUUUUAAUAUGAAGUCCAUAAGGAUUAAAUGUUGAGGAAUAAUUCUAUUUUAUUUGUGUGAACAACUGCUUGUGUUUGAAUUCAUGAAUAAAUGCCAUGAGUCUCAUGGCCUAGUUUUUUACUGCAGCUUUUGUAAAUUAUUCAACAAUAAUAGAUUGCUCAAAGGUAUGAAUUCCAUGUUACUCAAAUGUUUGACUAUGAAUGUGUAAUAUUUUUCUGAGAAGUAAAUCCAUGGUUUCCAA